This is a non-coding RNA of Odocoileus virginianus texanus, 827 nucleotides long. NCBI's taxonomy places the organism in Eukaryota, Metazoa, Chordata, Mammalia, Artiodactyla, Cervidae. The record is from RefSeq and is a predicted model, not a curated record.
CAGUGGUGGAUCAGUGUCCUCACCAAAAUAGUCCGAUGGCACAAUUUUGAGCUGGUUUGUGCUGUCUGGCCUCUCUUCUUUAUUUCCAUUUUUUGAGCCAGGUUCUUAUGCCUGUUCAACUAUUCUGGACAAGAUCACUGAGGGCCCUUGCAGAAAAGAUUGAGAAGUUGAAGGAAAAUAAAAUUGGCUGUGAGAGGGAAUGAACAGAUGAUGCUGCAGGAUGAAAUUGCAGCCUUCAGAGCAGAAGUUGAGAACAGUUGCUACUUUGCUUAAAGGUCAUUGCUCACAUUUCAAUAGGAAUGGGUGGUGAUGUCACAUUUUGAACCUGUUGUCUUUGUCUAGGGUGGGCCCUACCCUUUUCUACCAGUUAUCUGUUUACCUUUUAACAUAAUUAGGCAGACCAGAUUGGCAUUUAGUCUUGUUCUGACAACGGCAAAUUAGGCUUAACUCUUUAAUUACAAUGAGAAGGAAAUCACCUUUCUGAUAUCCUUCAAUUAGCUCAAGCAGCUGUUAAGUUAUAAUUAAAAUUUCACAUGGAUCAUUUGAGUUCUUGGAAUGUUUCCAUUUAAUAACAAAACAUUUGCAUAUAUGCAUUCAGUUUUCAACAACCUUUUCAAAUCUGUCAAUGGUAAACCAAGAACAUUGAUACAGUAUUAAACAAAAUCUUUGUCAUCUUGUAAGCAGACACCUGGGUCCUACAAAAUGAAAAAUGGAAAUAGAAGAAGGUGAUCAAAGAAUAUUAGUGCCUCCAAGUUUUCUGGAGCUUGUUCAUAGAAUUAAAUUUUUGUUUAAUUUACAGUUCUCCAAGAGGGGAGAAAAACACUAAC